This 496-nucleotide ribosomal RNA is filed under the name uncultured bacterium. Its description in RNAcentral is "partial 16S ribosomal RNA". It matches the Rfam family "Bacterial small subunit ribosomal RNA", at positions 28 to 506 of the family's 1533-position model. The record is from RNAcentral.
GAUGAACGCUGGCGGCGUGCCUAAUACAUGCAAGUCGAGCGAACAGACGAGGAGCUUGCUCCUCUGACGUUAGCGGCGGACGGGUGAGUAACACGUGGAUAACCUACCUAUAAGACUGGGAUAACUUCGGGAAACCGGAGCUAAUACCGGAUAAUAUAUUGAACCGCAUGGUUCAAUAGUGAAAGACGGUUUUGCUGUCACUUAUAGAUGGAUCCGCGCCGCAUUAGCUAGUUGGUAAGGUAACGGCUUACCAAGGCAACGAUGCGUAGCCGACCUGAGAGGGUGAUCGGCCACACCGGAACUGAGACACGGUCCAGACUCCUACGGGAGGCAGCAGUAGGGAAUCUUCCGCAAUGGGCGAAAGCUUGACGGAGCAACGCCGCGUGAGUGAUGAAGGUCUUCGGAUCGUAAAACUCUGUUAUUAGGGAAGAACAAAUGUGUAAGUAACUAUGCACGUCUUGACGGUACCGAAUCAGAAAGCCACGGCUAACUACGU